RNAcentral lists this signal recognition particle RNA (102 nucleotides) under Caldisericum exile AZM16c01. RNAcentral's name for it is "bacterial signal recognition particle RNA". It matches the Rfam family "Bacterial small signal recognition particle RNA". Rfam says of the family: The signal recognition particle (SRP) is a universally conserved ribonucleoprotein involved in the co-translational targeting of proteins to membranes. Lineage: Bacteria; Pseudomonadati; Caldisericota; Caldisericia; Caldisericales; Caldisericaceae. The record is from RNAcentral.
AGGCAGGACCUCAAGCAAUACUUACUCUUGAACCCCGCGAGCUCCGGAAGGAAGCAACGGUAAAAGAGUCAGGUAUUUGGCUUGAGAAAAUCUUGCUGGAGC